Molecule: long non-coding RNA, 1688 nt
Organism: Corvus moneduloides (New Caledonian crow)
Lineage: Eukaryota; Metazoa; Chordata; Aves; Passeriformes; Corvidae
Source: Ensembl
UAAGUUUACUACUGACAGCUUGGAUGCCUGCUGAGUUCUGAGCAGCAGAACCUGCCACCUGUGACACCCAGUGUAUUCUCUGAAGGUAUUCUCCUCACUGUUAAUGGUCUUCAAUAGAGAACCUCUCAAAACAAGAGCAGGCAAAACAGCACCCAUCAGAAAUCGUGUACGUUUGGUUCGAAAGCAGAAGCUCGGGAACAGAGGUCUUUUGUCUCUGAUGCUGUCUAAACCUGAUGACAUGUGCAAGGUACAGGCUAAUGUAGGUAUUAAUCUUUCAAUUUGUUGGUAAAUAACAUUAAAUGCUAUUCUGGUUCCCAUUCCCCUUCUGUUUAUUCAUGUUUUCAUUUUUCAAAGUGCUCUUUUUCUGUUCUAAAGCACUCAAAUAAUUAAUUUCAGCCUCUAGUUACUUGUUUUUCUAAUUUCUUGUGGUUCUCAGACAUGGAACCAUAUAUUCUCACCUUCCAGAAACUUUUCCUUCUUUGCUUCAAUUGGCAAAAAAGUUUAAUUUUCAAAUUAUAAUUUUUGUUGCUAGAAUACAUGUUUGAAACUUGGAUUUUGACUGUUUCGUACCUGGUACCUUUCCUGCUCUGUAAUUGUAUUUGGCAGUGAAAUGUGUACACUAUCCGUGGUUCUGUCAGUAUUUCUUUAAACACAUUCCAUGUUGAUUUCCUUUCCUAAAUUUUCCCUUUAGUAUAUUUCUGUGGAAAUAAGCAAUGUAUUUUUUUCUUCCUUUUCACAUGCAUACAUAUCUAGGUGUAAGCUGCAUAAAAGCACAAUCAUAAUCAUUCACCACAGUGCUAAUUAAGGUCUCAUUUUAUGUACUGGCUCAUGUCCCACAGCAGAGGGGUUGUUCUGAGCAGUAGCACCUCAUGUCACCUUUCCCUGACCAUCUUCUAAAGCAAUGCUCAACCAGCUAAGCCAGGACACCCAAAGGCACUUGUUCUUCACCAAAUUUUAUGUUCUCCUUCCAGUGACUUCCAGUCACCUGCAGCGUUGGAAUUGUUCCUAUUGCAGCUUCUUGCUGCUGCUCUCAGCCUUGCAGUGAAUUUGGAAUUUUACCUGUGAGGUUUCUACAUCAAUGUCUGCAUGAAGACCUUGAGACCCCCCUGAAGCUCUCUUUGAAAAACAAGAAGAAGAAAAACAUACACCUGAAUGAAUAUUUAAUAGCUGGGUAGACAGGGCCCAGGAGAUGAGACCUGGAGGUUCAAGUUGCAAUUGGGUCUGCUUUUGAGGAGCGCCUUGAACCCGAACUUCUGACAGCUGGAUGAAAGAUGCAGUCAACAGACUUGUGCAGUCUGUCUUGAAGCUGCUUCUCUUUUUUUGGAAUAAAAAUAAAGAUUAUUAUUACAAAAUAUGACUGAGUUAAUGGUCACUGGUGCCAUCACUAAUUUAUCCAUCUCACUUUCUUUGAAAGCUUUAUUCAAAUCGAUAUUUUUCUGUGAAAGAUUUUGCUUUCUCCAAGACAGAUUAAACUGGGAAUACUGGAGAGUCUAAAAAUUCCCCAACCCAUGCAAUUCCAUUGAGCCAUCUUCUUUUAACCUUCUUAGGUGAACAUCUGCACUUAGCAUCAGAAAACAUUUUGCUUUCCUGUAGGGUUGCAGACAUUUACCCAUCCCUGACUUGAAAUAUAGAUUUUACUCAUAUAUUCAGACCCACAGCUGAUGUUGAACUAAAUUCCUUGAUCUAGC